CGGGGUGAGUAACGCGUGGGUAACCUACCCUGUACACACAGAUAACAUACCGAAAGGUAUGCUAAUACGGGAUAAUAUAUUUGAGAGGCAUCUCUUGAAUAUCAAAGGUGAGCCAGUACAGGAUGGACCCGUGUCUGAUUAGCUAGUUGGCAAGGUAACGGCUUACCAAGGCGACGAUCAGUAGCCGACCUGAGAGGGUGAUCGGCCACAUUGGAACUGAGACACGGUCCAA
Molecule: ribosomal RNA, 232 nt
Filed under: uncultured bacterium
Lineage: Bacteria
Description: partial 16S ribosomal RNA
Rfam family: Bacterial small subunit ribosomal RNA
Source: RNAcentral